RNAcentral lists this long non-coding RNA (2247 nucleotides) under Mytilus galloprovincialis (Mediterranean mussel). Lineage: Eukaryota; Metazoa; Mollusca; Bivalvia; Mytilida; Mytilidae. The record is from RNAcentral.
CAGAACUAAAAGAGCUUCAUGGUAUACUAGUUACUCUACGUCAGGGUCAGGGUCAGGAUAUCCAUUUUUUAAGAAGAAGAAACCUAAACAGCCCGUAGUUUUAAUUAAUGAUACUAGAUUUUCUGACAGGUAUUUAUUAUUAAUAAAUUAAUCAAAAUUACAUUAAGAAUUAUAGCCAACAGGGACAGAUUAGAGAUUUAAUUCACCUCUCAAAUGGCUGAUAUUUAGAUAUAUAAAAAGCUACAGGUAACCAACAGUAUCUUAAGCAAUCAUAUAGCUUUUUCAGUAAAGAUUAUUUAUUAGCAAUGUUUCUUUUCUAUCACAAUACACUAAGUUUGGAAAUGUUCAAUCAUAGACCAUUCGAUAAAAAAAGAUAUACAGCUGUUACUUUAUUAUUUUAGUCAAACUGUAAUGAAUUUUAGGCAAACUAUUUUUUUACAGAUGUUCAAUUGUAAUUAAAUUAAGAAAACAGAAAACAUGAUGUCAAAGGAAGACAACUGAAUGAACUCUGUCAGGAACAAGAAUGCGUUGUCGACAGGGUUAGCAUUGUUUGCUUUGCAUCAACUAACGGCCAUGAGAAUCCACAAUCGAUAAAAAAAAACCAAUCGGUUAAUAACUGCUAUAUAUCACACGUAUCUUCCAGUAUCCAACUAAAAAGAUAUAAGACCGCGAAAACAUAUCGCAACUGAGUCGAGACACAAACAGAUUGUAUCGGUCAAUCAAUUCGAUAUUGUCAUUGUAAAAUUUAUAAAGUGUCGAUUUGGUUCCCUCUUAAUUCUGUUUUAGUAGGGAUUUUGCAAGGGGCACACGCCUAUUAAAUAAGAUUGUAUAGUGUUAACAUGCACGAGCGUUAUUUGUUAUCGUAUUCAAUCAGAUGUGUAAACUCCAUACGACGGGGACUAUUUACUAUAUGUUGUUCUUUUGCAGGUGGGAUCCUUUUGAUUACGGCAAAAGGUAAGUUUUCAUUUAUAUCAACGAACCAACACUUUGGAAUGUGUCUUUGUCGUAUUUCGAGUUGUUUAUUUCAAAUAGUCUAGACAAGGUAUGACUAUGUUUUACAACGACAAUAGAUAUCUGCCAUAAGUACAAAAUACAGGAAAACAGUAUUUGUGAAAGGACCAGAAGUCCGUCCAGUACUGAUGUAAUAGCAGCAACUAUCCUGUUUCGUUCAAUAUUUCUUGAUUCAGUCGUGUCAGGUUGGAUAUUAUGUUGAAUUGGCGCCUGUGAUAACGUUUAAAACCGCUGCAUUUGUUUUCAUCUGUUCUAUGUCACGAACCUGUUGUUCAGUGGUUGUCGUUUGUUGAUGUGGUUCAUAAGGGUUACUCGUUUCUGUUUUUUUUUAAAUAUUGAUCAGACAGUUGGAUUUCCUGUUUGAAUGGUUUUACGUAUAUACUAGUCAUUUUGGGGCCCUUUAUAGCAUGCUGUUCGGUGUGAAUCAAGGCUCCGUGUUAAAGGCCGUACUUUUAUCUAUAUAGGUUCACUUUUUAUAAAUUGUGACUUGGAUGGAGAGUUGUUUCAUUGCCACUUAUACCACUUAUCAUCUUAUAACUGUGACCCAUAUAUUUGACAAUAUCAUGAUGUUAACUAAAUUUAUGCAAAAUAUUAAAAAAACAUUAUAUCGUUUUUAAUACCCCCCUCCCUUUUCCGUAUAACUUAAAGCAGACAUAAAGUAUCGUUUACGUUACAUAAAUAAGCAAAGAGUUAAAGACAAUGUUUGACUCAACAAGCACGUGCUCUUAUGUUUGUAUGCAUUUAUAUCAAGUUGAUUCAUUGAGUAAUCACACUGUUUUAAUGUCAUUUAGGAUUAUCAUAAUUCAUCACUUUUCUCCCACAGAUAUUUUGAAAGAAGAUUAUGUUUGCUCGUUACGAAUUGUCAAUUGUCUUGAAAACAAAUUGUCGGUAACAAAUUAUUCUAACAUGACCAGGAAUAAAAUUGGUGUCCACUUAUAUUUCAAAUUCUUAGAUGAAUAAUGGGUUAAGCGACACAAUGCUGAGAAAGUUGUCAUUGUAUAACGAAUUUCGCAUCCUAUCAAUGCUUUAGUUGUUUCAUUGUAAAUGCAAAUCUUGAUUAACUAAUAUGUUUUUUUUUUUAUCUCUCUCUCUCAUUUUUUUUUUUUUUUUUUAGAGAUUCUCAAUAGGAAAAUGCGGUAUAAUGGACACGAUUGUUAAGUUGGUAGUGCUUGCCCAUGGAGGACGUGAAGAUCACACAAACAACAAUUGAACAUACAAUAAAACUUACAAUAUAAU